Molecule: long non-coding RNA, 890 nt
Filed under: Homo sapiens (human)
Lineage: Eukaryota; Metazoa; Chordata; Mammalia; Primates; Hominidae
Description: non-protein coding lnc-CADM1-4:13
Source: RNAcentral
AGAAGAGCUAUUGUCUAACCACCCAGAGCACAGCCUUGUGUAUAUAAGGACCACACUUAAGCAGUGUGGAAACAGAGGUUGGAGGCAUCUAGGCCUGAUGAGUCCUUGGCAGCCUCUUAGAAUCCUUAUACCCUAGUAUGGGGUUCGGAAAGAGCCAAGAAUUCUUGUACUCCCCAAAAAGAGUCUGGCGGUGUUCAUGAGGGCUGGUGACCUGGAAAAGGCAUUCUGAUUGGGAUGACAAGGAUGCAGAGUCUAGAGCUGACAGCAGGGUGUGAUUGCUGAAACACAAGAAAGAGAGAAGAACUUUGCCCCCUUCUCCCAGUGCCAGCAGCCCAGAGGUAGCAGGAUCCUGUUGAAGAUGGGUAAUGUGCCAACAUCAUAACAAGGUUCAAGGGAGGCACAUCUCAUACGAGUGUGAAAAGGCAAUCAUCAUGCUUAUGAACUACAAGAUUAUCCUAUAUAUUCAUUUUCAAUUAUUUUAUCCUCCUCUGCCUCUUGCCCUGGACUAUAUAAGACCUGCAAUAUAAUGUUGAAUAAGGAAGGUGAAAACGAACAUCAUUGCAUCACUCCUGAUAUCAAAGCCGGUCCUAGACUGGAUGGAGACCAACAGUAGAGACGUGGGCUGGGAGCUUGACUGUCGGAAAACUUGGAUUAUGAUCUCCAAACUUCCUCCUACCAGGAAGAGCAUGAGUUUUGAGUCCGAGAGCUCUGGGUUUCCAGAAGGAGCCGUUUUCCCAUGCCCCACUCACACGAUCCUGGAAAAGGAGAGCAACCCGAGAUGCCCCAGGUUAGGGACAGGCCUGUGUGACCUUGUGUUUCAACAAAUGGAUCACAAACAAUGCAACCUGCACCUCUCCGGCCUUCCCCACCCAGUCGGAGUUCUCCGCUCC